GAUGAACGCUGGCGGCGUGCCUAAUACAUGCAAGUCGAGCGAACAGACGAGGAGCUUGCUCCUCUGACGUUAGCGGCGGACGGGUGAGUAACACGUGGAUAACCUACCUAUAAGACUGGGAUAACUUCGGGAAACCGGAGCUAAUACCGGAUAAUAUAUUUAACCGCAUGGUUCAAUAGUGAAAGACGGUUUUGCUGUCACUUAUAGAUGGAUCCGCGCCGCAUUAGCUAGUUGGUAAGGUAACGGCUUACCAAGGCGACGAUGCGUAGCCGACCUGAGAGGGUGAUCGGACACACUGGAACUGAGACAAGGUCCAGAAUCCUACGGGAGGCAGCAGUAGGGAAUCUUCCGCAAUGGGCGAAAGCCUGACGGAGCAACGCCGCGUGAGUGAUGAAGGUCUUCGGAUCGUAAAACUCUGUUAUUAGGGAAGAACAAAUGUGUAAGUAACUAUGCACGUCUUGACGGUACCUAAUCAGAAAGCCACGGCUAACUACGUG
Molecule: ribosomal RNA, 497 nt
Filed under: uncultured bacterium
Lineage: Bacteria
Description: partial 16S ribosomal RNA
Rfam family: Bacterial small subunit ribosomal RNA
Source: RNAcentral